Molecule: ribosomal RNA, 447 nt
Filed under: uncultured bacterium
Lineage: Bacteria
Description: partial 16S ribosomal RNA
Rfam family: Bacterial small subunit ribosomal RNA
Source: RNAcentral
GCCAGACUCCUACGGGAGGCAGCAGUGGGGGAUAUUGCACAAUGGGGGGAACCCUGAUGCAGCGACGCCGCGUGGGUGAAGGAGUAUUUCGGUAUGUAAAGCCCUAUCGGCAGGGAAGAAGCAAGACGGUACCUGACUAAGAAGCCCCGGCUAACUACGUGCCAGCAGCCGCGGUAAUACGUAGGGGGCGAGCGUUAUCCGGAUUCACUGGGUGUAAAGGGAGCGUAGACGGCCAAGCAAGCCAGGGGUGAAAGCCCGGGGCCCAACCCCGGGACUGCCCUUGGAACUGCUUGGCUGGAGUGCGGGAGGGGCAGGCGGAAUUCCUGGUGUAGCGGUGAAAUGCGUAGAUAUCAGGAGGAACACCGGCGGCGAAGGCGGCCUGCUGGACCGCGACUGACACUGAGGCUCGAAAGUGUGGGUAUCAAACAGGAUUAGAUACCCCGGUAC